Daphnia pulex (common water flea) is the source of this 2929-nucleotide long non-coding RNA. RefSeq lists it as uncharacterized. The record is from RefSeq and is a predicted model, not a curated record. NCBI's taxonomy places the organism in Eukaryota, Metazoa, Arthropoda, Branchiopoda, Diplostraca, Daphniidae. The transcript has 7 exons.
GUGGCAGCAUUGCACGGCAUCCGGGCAUCGUCCAUGAGGCCAUGCAUGCUGCAACAGCAUGUUUGUCAUGUGUUUGUUGUUAGCUGUUUCUACUUUUGUUUAGGAAGCAGCUCAGCCGAGGGAUAGAGUUUCAGUGAUGUGAAGAGUGUGGAGUGAAUAACGCACCUGCCACGUGUAUGUACACAUGAUAAAGCAUUAGGAAAUUUAUUUCAACCUGAGGAGUAAUGCUGAUAUUGGUUGCUGUGAAUUCCAUUUUUAUGGUUUUUCAUCAAGAACAUUUCAGUGUGCUUCUUAGAAAAGAGCACGCAAGAUCUUUGAGCUUGUUCUGGCCAAUGGAACCUGGGGCUCGAAAGUGGAAGUUGGAGGGGGUUGAUUUAAAUUCUUCGACACUACUUUUUACGUUCCUUGAGAUCGCGAGUCGGCCGCCAGUGUCGAUCUACAACGCAGUUUCUUCAUGGAAUAGUGUGCAUGGGCUUGGCACGGAGAUCCUUUGGCCUACCGCUGGCCUUUGUUGAUGACAGAAGUGACUUGCACCAAGCAUCCUUUCCCUAUCUUCGCGACUUCUAGCUUCACUGCUUCUUAUGCUGCUACUCAACUUGUUUCUUCACUGACGAGUUACUUGAUCACUUCAUGGUCACUUCCGUCCACUAUGAGUCUAUGACACACCUGUAGACCUGUAGUCACUCACCACCAGCUGUUUUGUCAUCAGUUAUCAUUUGGACCAUCUCAUCUCUACUCCAUUGCAGCCACACACACAAGAGUCAUCACUUUUCUCAUCUUGCGGAAGUCCGGAAUCAGCUACUACUACUACUACUACACCAGGGUGUGACAUCAAGUACUCUCUAUACUCUUUGAUCCCGUCCAAAUUAUCAUAAGACCCACCAACGACAUUCCCGCAGUAGAGCGGAGGAUGUCGAGUGUCUGAGAGACCACAGCAUGCCAUCAUCAUCUACUCGUCCGUCUUGUCUAAUGUUGAGAUGUUGGCCAAGGAUCAAUAGUCGAGCGACUAUUGAUUACGGCCGGAAUCUCUCUGGCCCCCCCAUCAGCAGCAUUAGGAUCUGGCGAUAACAGUUGGAAAAAGAAGGUCGAGUUAAUCUAACGAAGCUAACUUAUAGUACCAUCAACAAGAUCAAUCGAUUUGUCAAGCCGAGACUAAAACAACAGACCACCAAGGCCACCGGGCAGUAGUAUCGAGUUACAACAAAAACCCUUUUUGUUCGGCCUAUUAUUCUCUCAGGACUUUGAACGGAUUCCGACAAUUGACGUGACCCAUCACCCAAAUAAUCAAUCCACUGGCACAACAGAAUAAGUCGCUGAGAUGACGUCAUCAGACGAGGAAUAUCCAACCCGGAUUUGUCCUAGAAUAAUGUCUAACCAUAACCUUGGCCCUCUUACCCCUAGCCCUACUUUUUUUCCCAUUUUUUCCAACCAGGAUCUCCCAAAAUACCCAAAAACCUAAAAGCUCGCCCCUUUCUCUUUAUACAAAUGUGUUUUACCUGCCAAAAAAAAAUAUGAGUCGACCUUACACCUUAAUGAGGGGUGGAAAGGUAAAAAAGAGAUGGAUCGACCUCCUCCUCCACAUACUGUAGUAAUAAUCCAAGGUCGGUACGAAAAAUUGUGCAAAGUCACGGGGAAAGGUAGAAAAACAACUUGGUACAGCACUGGGUGAGAGAAAGUAUUUUUAAAAAGAUAUAUAAUCCGAGAGAUGAUGCCAUAUAAUGAAUUACGCCCCUAGGAGAGACAGAUAGAGAGAACCGACCGGUUUGCUAUUUGAAAAAACUGGGAUAAUAAUAAAAAACUUGCUCCUGAUUAGCAUCGUCAUGCGACGGGCAAAGUUGAACGGGUACACGUCGAGUUCACUUUUUUGUUGUUUCUUAUCUUAUCUGGAGGUGUUGUUGAUGGAAUCGAAAGUGGUUGGGUCGGAAGAUGCAGGCGGAUGCGAUGAUGGCCAAGUCUGUGGAAUGUUGUACACUCUCUCUCUCUCUGUGUGUAGUAUGGAUCACAUCAGAUGUGUGUCUAAUAAUCUUAUGCGCUGCUGUUGUAGUUGUUUGUAGCUUUUCUCUUUCGUUUGGCGAUCACGCAGCCGUUGGCCAUCACAUCCAAAACCUUAGAGUCUACCGACACAACUUUCUCUUAGUCGACCGUUUCGUUUUUUGGCCGUUUCGUUUUGGGUUGUGUGGCGUCUCUGUCCUCAUAUUCAAAUCGACUCGCAUUCCCCCCCACGAAAAAAAUCAAAGUUUGGCCAUCGAAAAAAGAGAGAAUGUUGUUGAAAUCAGAAAGAAAAAAAAGGUGUAAGCGAAAAUGUUCAUUCAUUCAUUCUGAAUCUGGCCCUUUCACCUGCUGGCCGCCGCCGCCAUCAUCCAUUUCCCAAUCUUCUUCUUUUCUUUUCUCAUCCGCAUAUUGAACUGAUCAUUACCGACGACGUAGAUCUCAGUUGGCUAACGUCAUGUGCCUUCUCUAAAUGCAAAACGAAAUUUUCUUUCUCCUAUCGACUCGGAUAUUUUUUGAAUCCGCCGCUUUUUUCUUUCCCCAUUUGCACGCAGACUUAAAAAACGGGAUGCAACACACACAAAAGAGAGCAAGGGGAUGAAUCGGAUCGAUAUGGUGGAGGGAGAGACGUGCCGGAGAGAUUCAGCUGGCCGUCACUCUUCUUCUGGGACGAGCCAAAAGAGAAAAUAGAAAAGAAACACAAAAAUCAAAUAAUCAAAAGGGCGCCAUUUCUUCUUCUUCUUUUGGGCCUCUUUUUUGAUCACUUGCUCAACUUUCGUCCGUCAUCCCAAUCAAAAGGCGAGAGACGAAAACGGGACCAGGCAAUAAGAAAUGUACGGGAUUCAUUCAUCUCCUAUUUCAUCUCCUAUUUCUGAAUGGAUCCAAUCGCCCACAUCCCCCAUAGAAUCGGCACCUUGAUUACUGCUGCCCCCGCAAUAUC